AUUUGCUUUUGGAUCCUCAUAAUUCUGUUUCCGCUUUUGGUGGUUAUCUCUCUUUGGGGGGUAACUAACACCAGGAAAAUUUCUUCCUUGUCCACGUCCACGGUCAUGACCCCGAUCACGACCACGACCACGAUUAAAGCCAUGCCUUUUCCACGCUUAGCAUAAUGGGAAUACACCUUAUCUACUUCAGGCAAUAGUGUAGACC
Molecule: long non-coding RNA, 205 nt
Filed under: Nicotiana benthamiana
Lineage: Eukaryota; Viridiplantae; Streptophyta; Magnoliopsida; Solanales; Solanaceae
Description: long non-coding RNA (NBEN_LNC005994)
Source: RNAcentral